GUGUGAAAGCACCAGAAGAACCAGUGAAACCAGAAUCAUCAGUGACUGAAAAACCCAAGGGGCCAACGGUCCUAGAACGAUCAGUGACUUUAAUUAAUCCUGCGGAGCCAGUAACAGUUGAAACACCACUUACCAAAGAAUCUGUGGAGCCAGCGAAAGAAGAGCAAUUAGGGAGUGAACCUGCAGUGUCACUGAAACAAGGACUCUCAACAGCUGAAAAAGCUAGGGAGCCAGAGAAAGGAGAGCAAAAAGUGACAGAAAAGCCAGUGGAGCCAUUGAAACAAGAACCUUUAGCAACUGAAAAAUCUGCGGAGGUUUCAGAAACCAAGUUACCAGAAGCUAAAAAAUCUGAAAUCCCAGUUGAAC
RNAcentral lists this unclassified non-coding RNA (366 nucleotides) under Hevea brasiliensis (rubber tree). The record is from RNAcentral. Lineage: Eukaryota; Viridiplantae; Streptophyta; Magnoliopsida; Malpighiales; Euphorbiaceae.